RNAcentral lists this ribosomal RNA (484 nucleotides) under uncultured bacterium. Its description in RNAcentral is "partial 16S ribosomal RNA". It matches the Rfam family "Bacterial small subunit ribosomal RNA", at positions 30 to 507 of the family's 1533-position model. The record is from RNAcentral.
AUUGAACGCUGGCGGCAUGCCUUACACAUGCAAGUCGAACGGUAACGGGUCCUUCGGGAUGCCGACGAGUGGCGAACGGGUGUGUAAUAUAUCUGAACGUGCCCAGUAGUGGGGGAUAACUGCUCGAAAGAGCAGCUAAUGCCGCAUACGACCUGAUGGUGAAAGGGGGGGAUCGCAAGACCUCUCGCUAUUUUAGCGGCCGAUAUCAGAUUAGCUAGUUGGUGGGGUAAAGGCCUACCAAGGCAACUAUCUGUAGUUGGUCUGAGAGGACGACCAGCCACACUAGGACUGAGACACGGCCCAGACUCCUACGGGAGGCAGCAGUGGGGAAUUUUGGACAAUGGGCGCAAGCAUGAUCCAGCAAUGCCGCGUGCAGGAAGAAGGCCUUCGGGUUGUAAACUGCUUUUGUCAGGGAAGAAAUCUUCUGGGCUAAUACCACGGGAGGAUGACGGUACCUGAAGAAUAAGCACCGGCUAACUACGUG